GCCCGCGGCCUAUCAGCUUGUUGGUGAGGUAAUGGCUCACCAAGGCGACGACGGGUAGCCGGCCUGAGAGGGCGACCGGCCACACUGGGACUGAGACACGGCCCAGACUCCUACGGGAGGCAGCAGUGGGGAAUAUUGCACAAUGGGCGAAAGCCUGAUGCAGCGACGCCGCGUGAGGGAUGAAGGCCUUCGGGUUGUAAACCUCUUUCAGUAGGGAAGAAGCGCAAGUGACGGUACCUACAGAAGAAGCACCGGCUAACUACGUGCCAGCAGCCGCGGUAAUACGUAGGGUGCGAGCGUUGUCCGGAAUUAUUGGGCGUAAAGAGCUUGUAGGCGGUUUGUCGCGUCUGCCGUGAAAAUCCGGGGCUCAACUCCGGACUUGCGGUGGGUACGGGCAGACUAGAGUGUGGUAGGGGAGACUGGAAUUCCUGGUGUAGCGGUGAAAUGCGCAGAUAUCAGGAGGAACACCGAUGGCGAAGGCAGGUCUCUG
This 490-nucleotide ribosomal RNA is filed under the name uncultured bacterium. Its description in RNAcentral is "bacterial SSU rRNA". It matches the Rfam family "Bacterial small subunit ribosomal RNA", at positions 229 to 731 of the family's 1533-position model. The record is from RNAcentral.